RNAcentral lists this non-coding RNA (186 nucleotides) under Lachnospiraceae bacterium. RNAcentral describes it as "6S RNA". It matches the Rfam family "6S / SsrS RNA". Rfam says of the family: E. coli 6S RNA was the first non coding RNA to be sequenced, but its function was unknown until recently. It consists of 184 nucleotides that fold into an extended hairpin structure with a large single-stranded internal bulge. The record is from RNAcentral. Lineage: Bacteria; Bacillati; Bacillota; Clostridia; Lachnospirales; Lachnospiraceae.
UGCUUACUGGGUUAUUCGUUGAGACAUUUUAUUGAACCUACAUUAUGAUAAAAGGGCAUCCGUAUAUUGGUGUGGCUAGCGAGCCUGGGUCUUCGGACUUCUUCAGGAUACUAAAAGCAUCGAUGAGGUGACCCACCUAGCAAGGGCUAGGUGUCAAUAAAGUUUUGACGGUAAUCUGGUUUUUUA